UGCAAGUCGAGCGGUAGAGAGGUGCUUGCACCUCUUGAGAGCGGCGGACGGGUGAGUAAUGCCUAGGAAUCUGCCUGGUAGUGGGGGAUAACGUUCGGAAACGAACGCUAAUACCGCAUACGUCCUACGGGAGAAAGCAGGGGACCUUCGGGCCUUGCGCUAUCAGAUGAGCCUAGGUCGGAUUAGCUAGUUGGUGAGGUAAUGGCUCACCAAGGCGACGAUCCGUAACUGGUCUGAGAGGAUGAUCAGUCACACUGGAACUGAGACACGGUCCAGACUCCUACGGGAGGCAGCAGUGGGGAAUAUUGGACAAUGGGCGAAAGCCUGAUCCAGCCAUGCCGCGUGUGUGAAGAAGGUCUUCGGAUUGUAAAGCACUUUAAGUUGGGAGGAAGGGUUGUAGAUUAAUACUCUGCAAUUUUGACGUUACCGACAGAAUAAGCACCGGCUAACUCUGUGCCAGCAGCCGCGGUAAUACAGAGGGUGCAAGCGUUAAUCGGAAUUACUGGGCGUAAAGCGCGCGUAGGUGGUUCGUUAAGUUGGAUGUGAAAGCCCCGGGCUCAACCUGGGAACUGCAUUCAAAACUGUCGAGCUAGAGUAUGGUAGAGGGUGGGUGGAAUUUCCUGUGUAGCGGUGAAAUGCGUAGAUAUAGGAAGGAACACCAGUGGCGAAGGCGACCACCUGGACUGAUACUGACACUGAGGUGCGAAAGCGUGGGGAGCAAACAGGAUUAGAUACCCUGGUAGUCCACGCCGUAAACGAUGUCAACUAGCCGUUGGGAGCCUUGAGCUCUUAGUGGCGCAGCUAACGCAUUAAGUUGACCGCCUGGGGAGUACGGCCGCAAGGUUA
This 846-nucleotide ribosomal RNA is filed under the name Pseudomonas sp. RNAcentral describes it as "bacterial SSU rRNA". It matches the Rfam family "Bacterial small subunit ribosomal RNA", at positions 56 to 896 of the family's 1533-position model. Lineage: Bacteria; Pseudomonadati; Pseudomonadota; Gammaproteobacteria; Pseudomonadales; Pseudomonadaceae. The record is from RNAcentral.